Molecule: ribosomal RNA, 719 nt
Filed under: uncultured Staphylococcus sp.
Lineage: Bacteria; Bacillati; Bacillota; Bacilli; Caryophanales; Staphylococcaceae
Description: bacterial SSU rRNA
Rfam family: Bacterial small subunit ribosomal RNA
Source: RNAcentral
CAGACGAGGAGCUUGCUCCUCUGACGUUAGCGGCGGACGGGUGAGUAACACGUGGAUAACCUACCUAUAAGACUGGGAUAACUUCGGGAAACCGGAGCUAAUACCGGAUAAUAUAUUGAACCGCAUGGUUCAAUAGUGAAAGACGGUUUUGCUGUCACUUAUAGAUGGAUCCGCGCCGCAUUAGCUAGUUGGUAAGGUAACGGCUUACCGAGGCGACGAUGCGUAGCCGACCUGAGAGGGUGAUCGGCCACACUGGAACUGAGACACGGUCCAGACUCCUACGGGAGGCAGCAGUAGGGAAUCUUCCGCAAUGGGCGAAAGCCUGACGGAGCAACGCCGCGUGAGUGAUGAAGGUCUUCGGAUCGUAAAACUCUGUUAUUAGGGAAGAACAAAUGUGUAAGUAACUAUGCACGUCUUGACGGUACCUAAUCAGAAAGCCACGGCUAACUACGUGCCAGCAGCCGCGGUAAUACGUAGGUGGCAAGCGUUAUCCGGAAUUAUUGGGCGUAAAGCGCGCGUAGGCGGUUUUUUAAGUCUGAUGUGAAAGCCCACGGCUCAACCGUGGAGGGUCAUUGGAAACUGGAAAACUUGAGUGCAGAAGAGGAAAGUGGAAUUCCAUGUGUAGCGGUGAAAUGCGCAGAGAUAUGGAGGAACACCAGUGGCGAAGGCGACUUUCUGGUCUGUAACUGACGCUGAUGUGCGAAAGCGUGGGGAUCAAA